This 1971-nucleotide small RNA is filed under the name Pan troglodytes (chimpanzee). RNAcentral describes it as "retained intron". Lineage: Eukaryota; Metazoa; Chordata; Mammalia; Primates; Hominidae. The record is from RNAcentral.
GUGACAGAGUGAGACCCUGUCUUAAAACAAAUAAACAAAUAAGAAAAUGGUACACAUUUCUCCUGUUGAGCCACAAGAGGGAGGGGCUGUGUGAACCUCAUCUGUAGUUUAGGGGCAGCUUUUAUUGGAGUUUCUUUACCACCGGCUUUAAAUGUGUUCAGAGUAGAAUUAGGACUUUCCCUUCAGCAGAGCUUGGGAUCUUAGCCCUGGCAGAAUUCCAGGGAUGUCUUUAUGUUUUAAAGUCGCCAGCUUUUGGAACUGUGGGAGGCCUCUGGUAUUCAGCCCUGCCGCUAGACUGUGGGGCCACUGGGGUGCUCUCCGCUCCCCAGUCUCGCCCCCACUUCUGUACCUCAGGAGGUUUCUCUGCACCUCACUCCCUCGCGCCCAACCUUCCAUGAAGCCCGUGUGAGGGAGUUGGCAGGGGGCAGAGGCGGGCUGUGCUGGGGCUCCCUGGAGUCCUCAUCUGUCACGCCAGUCCCCACGCGGUCAUGAACUUCCACUCAUUUCCCCUCACGCAGGGCAUCCCGCCCUGCUGCCUCGCACCAGGGUGAAAGCUGUGGGCUCCUUCCCCAAGGAAGGGCUCGUCCUGUCUGCAUUUUGAUUAAUUUAGGUCCCUUUGCAUUGCCAGCUCUCAGAUGGCUUUACCUUUGAUUUUGUUGCUUGUUUGGCUUGUUUUCAUCUUUAGGGCGAGACAGUCUUUUGUAACUUUUCUACCUUCUGACUAGAAGUGGAUGCCGCCUGCAUUUUCUUAACACCUUUUUCCCCAGCUUAUUUUGGAAAUCGUCAAACCUACAGAGAGCUGAAAGAACAGUACAGUUAACAUCUGUCCACCCUUCACACAGAUUCACCACUUGUGAACAUUUUAAUGCAUUAACUUUAUGUGUCUGUCUACUUAUUUAUGCAUUUGUAUGUGUAUACUUUUUCCUUUUUUUUCCCCUAACCCAUUUGAGAGUAAGUUGCAGCCAUCAUAACCUGGAUCUCCCCAAAAACAAAGACGUCCUCUUGUGUGACCACAGUUGAAUUGUCCUACCUUAGAAAUUCAUCCUCGAUGUGAUAAUACUGACUAAGGUAGACAGUCCACAGGCCAUCCGGAAAAUCUGGAAACAUUGACAAAUAUGCAUGUCAUUGUCAAGGUCAUCUCCAAUCUGUGAAAAAUAAAUCAUCUGCAUUUCUAGACAUCUAUUAGUAUUUUAAUUCUCCCCAGCUCUCCCCAAAACAUCCUUUUUAGCUGCUUUUAAAAAAUUCAGCGUCCGUUGAAAGCACCAGUGUUGCCUAUGACCUGCCUUUUUACCUCUUUUUACCUAGAAAGUCUCACUUCUUUUUUGGGAGACUCUUUUAUGACAGUGACAUUGCGCUGUGUCCAGGCCAGUUCUUUUAUAAAAUGUUCUACGAUCUGGAUUCAUGCAUGUAUUUCCACAUGAUGCUGAGUAUUUUAAGAUAAUUCAAGAAUCAGGUUUUCGUAUGAAACGAUCGCAAUGCUUCGGCACUGCACAGGCCACAGAAGCCUGCGGCUGCCUCCGGCCCCGCCUGCUCCCGCUCCCCCAGGCCUGCCCUGCCCUUUUUCUUCUCUUCCUGCUUCUCCCUCGCCCUCAGCCCAGCAGCGUCUCAUGGGCAGUCCAGGCUUUCGGGGCCGGGUUGGGCAGCAGCCCCUGCAGCCGGUCCCACUGAGUCUGCCCUGCCUUCCAGAUUCUGGUACAGGUCAAAGAGGUCCUCUCCAAGCUGAGCACGCUCGUGGAAACCACACUCAAAGAGACAGAGAAGAUUACAGUAUGCGGGGACACCCAUGGCCAGUUCUAUGACCUCCUCAACAUAUUCGAGCUCAACGGUUUACCCUCGGAGACCAACCCCUAUGUAUCCUUCUCAGCAGAGCCACCCUCUCCCCACCUCCACCCCCAGCCGCAGCCUCAGGUCUGCACAGAGUGGGAGGAGCCCCUGCCAGGAAAAGACAUGACCUUGGAAAGGAGAGGCCUG